RNAcentral lists this small RNA (402 nucleotides) under Pan troglodytes (chimpanzee). RNAcentral's name for it is "processed transcript". The record is from RNAcentral. Lineage: Eukaryota; Metazoa; Chordata; Mammalia; Primates; Hominidae.
GCUGGGAUUACAGGCAUGGGCCAGCGUGCCCAGCUGCAUACAGUAAAAUUUAACUAGUUGACUUAAGGAUUUGAUUUCCCGUUUCUUCUUUUUUUUUUUUUUAGAUGGAGUCUUGCCCUGUCACUCAGGUUGUAGUGAGCUGAGAUCAUACCACUGUGUUCUAGCCUGGGCCAUAGAGCAAGACUUUGUCUCAAAAAAAAAUAAAACAAAAAAUAUUUGGUUUAGUCUACAACUAUACCUUCCUUAUAACUUAACCAUAUGCAUUUAUUAGGAAAAGUUUAUGUAAUGCAGACAGGAAGCUCUAUGUUCCCUUCUCUGGGGCAUCCUGAACGUCUGAAGGGUCACAGAUGUCUGUGUAGAGAUCUGUAAGAUGUCAAAGAAUAAAGAUAAUUUAUAGACUAA